RNAcentral lists this long non-coding RNA (536 nucleotides) under Phoenix dactylifera (date palm). RNAcentral describes it as "long non-coding RNA (PDAC_LNC022242)". Lineage: Eukaryota; Viridiplantae; Streptophyta; Magnoliopsida; Arecales; Arecaceae. The record is from RNAcentral.
AUGUGAGAGUUGCCAAUUUGAUAUGGCUGCUUUUAAAUAUGAAUGCAUAUGCUUUGGAAAAUGAAAAUUGCAUUUUGUGUUACUUAUAUGUCACUUGCACCAACUUUAGUUCAGUAUUUGGGUGGAAGUGUUCAGUUAAGAUAGGAUGUCAAAUCUUAGCAAACUGCUUUGGGAUACACUGGCCACCAUUAGCACUUCCAUUCGAAGAGGUUGAGGUAUUUCCCUUCUAUUCUCCUGCUUCUGUUUUAUCAUAAACAUGUUCUCUUUCAAGAGAGUCAAUAAACUCCAAGGUUCUCUUUCAUGAAAACCAGUGGCAUAAUUAUACUAUGGAUUAUGAAUUCCAGCUUUCAAAAUACACAACCAACUAUGAGCUGCAUCUAUUUCAGAUUGAUAUCAAACUAGAGAUGAAUUUAGGGACUUUUCUCGACCAUAAUGGUCUAUCUGUGUCUAUUUCUUCAUGUUCGAGGCCACUACUGUUGUAAUGUUUCUAGUAAUAAGCAUGGUAUGUAUGGUUGCAAUAUACAUAGAUUUUGGAU